GAUGAACGCUAGCUACAGGCUUAACACAUGCAAGUCGCAGGGUAACAUGAGGAAAGCUUGCUUUCCUUGAUGACGACUGGCGCACGGGUGAGUAACGCGUAUCCAACCUUCCCAUAACUACGGGAUAACCCGUUGAAAGACGGCCUAAUACCGUAUGAUAUCGUUUGCUGACAUCAAAUAACGAUUAAAGGUUUAGCGGUUAUGGAUGGGGAUGCGUCUGAUUAGCUUGUUGGCGGGGUAACGGCCCACCAAGGCGACGAUCAGUAGGGGUUCUGAGAGGAAGGUCCCCCACAUUGGAACUGAGACACGGUCCAAACUCCUACGGGAGGCAGCAGUGAGGAAUAUUGGUCAAUGGGCGAGAGCCUGAACCAGCCAAGUAGCGUGCAGGACGACGGCCCUAUGGGUUGUAAACUGCUUUUAGGUGGGGAUAAAGUGCGUGACGUGUCAUGCAUUGCAGGUACCACAUGAAUAAGGACCGGCUAAUUCCGUG
Molecule: ribosomal RNA, 490 nt
Filed under: uncultured bacterium
Lineage: Bacteria
Description: partial 16S ribosomal RNA
Rfam family: Bacterial small subunit ribosomal RNA
Source: RNAcentral